This 445-nucleotide ribosomal RNA is filed under the name uncultured bacterium. RNAcentral describes it as "bacterial SSU rRNA". It matches the Rfam family "Bacterial small subunit ribosomal RNA", at positions 46 to 534 of the family's 1533-position model. The record is from RNAcentral.
GCCUAACACAUGCAAGUCGAACGAGAUCUUCGGAUCUAGUGGCGCACGGGUGCGUAACGCGUGGGAAUCUGCCCUUGGGUUCGGAAUAACAGUUAGAAAUGACUGCUAAUACCGGAUGAAGUCUACGGACCAAAGAUUUAUCGCCCAGGGAUGAGCCCGCGUAGGAUUAGCUAGUUGGUGGGGUAAAGGCCUACCAAGGCGACGAUCCUUAGCUGGUCUGAGAGGAUGAUCAGCCACACUGGGACUGAGACACGGCCCAGACUCCUACGGGAGGCAGCAGUGGGGAAUAUUGGACAAUGGGGGCAACCCUGAUCCAGCAAUGCCGCGUGAGUGAUGAAGGCCUUCGGGUCCUAAAGCUCUUUUACCCGGGAUGAUAAUGACAGUACCCGGGAGAAUAAGCCCCGGCUAACUCCGUGCCAGCAGCCCGCGGUAAUACCGGAGGGGG